UACGUAGGGAGCUAGCGUUGUGCGGAAUCAUUGGGCGUAAAGCGCGCGUAGGCGGCCCGGUAAGUCCGCUGUGAAAGUCAAAGGCUCAACCUUUGAAUGUCAGCGGAUACUGCCGGGCUAGAGUCCGGAAGAGGCGAGUGGAACUCCUGGUGUAGCGGUGGAAUGCGCAGAUAUCAGGAAGAACACCCGUGGCUAAGGCGGCUCUCUAGUACGGUACUGACGCUGAGACGCGAAAGCGUGGGGAGCGAACAGG
RNAcentral lists this ribosomal RNA (253 nucleotides) under uncultured bacterium. Its description in RNAcentral is "partial 16S ribosomal RNA". It matches the Rfam family "Bacterial small subunit ribosomal RNA", at positions 524 to 776 of the family's 1533-position model. The record is from RNAcentral.